UAAAAUGUAAAUUUAUUAUUUAUUAAAUUAUUAAAAGUUAUUUUCUUUAAAGUUAAAAAAUUUGGCGGUAUUUUAGUCUUUUCAGAGGAACCUGUACUAUAAUUGAUAAUCCACGAUUAGAAUUACUUAAUUUAAAAACUUGUAUAUCAUCGUAGUUGAAUAUUUUAAAAGAAUAUUAAAUAUUCAAAAUUUUUUAUAAAAAUGUAAAUCAGAUCAAGGUGCAGUUUAUAUUUAAGAAGAUAUGGGUUACAAUAAAGUUAUUUUUGGUUAAUAAAUUUAAAAUUUGUUAUAAAUUGGAUUUGAAAGUAAUUUAAUUAAUUUAAAUUUGAUGAUUUUAGCUCUAAAAUAUGC
Molecule: ribosomal RNA, 351 nt
Filed under: Diaulota fulviventris
Lineage: Eukaryota; Metazoa; Arthropoda; Insecta; Coleoptera; Staphylinidae
Description: partial 12S ribosomal RNA
Source: RNAcentral